This is a long non-coding RNA of Halichondria panicea, 756 nucleotides long. RefSeq lists it as uncharacterized. The record is from RefSeq and is a predicted model, not a curated record. The transcript is spliced from 2 exons. NCBI's taxonomy places the organism in Eukaryota, Metazoa, Porifera, Demospongiae, Suberitida, Halichondriidae.
UCGGUAGCAUACAUAGCAUACUUUAUCUCCUUCUUUGAUCGUACCCUCAAAACCAGCCUUUUCUUUGAGAUACAGCUCUAUCACAUUUGGUUGAUUGCAUGUUUUUGAGUUUGUGUGUUUAAGUGAUGACCCACAUGUUAUACAGUGUGUUUGCAUAGGGUGUAUUUUAUUAUGCAAAACCUGAUAAUGAUGUUUACAAAGCGGUGUAGGUGUAGGGACAGUUGCAUUUGGUUCAAGAUCACACUGGUUAAACACUCCGAUAAUAUCAGCAUUAUAUAAUUUUUGCCAUCGAGGUACAAAGGUGUCAUUAACAAGUACCUUGGUUAUGUCUUGACGGCAAGCAUGGCAAACAUUCAACACACAGGGGUGCAGCGACAGCAUGUACGCCAUUGCAUCUUGGUUUUUUCCAUUUUGAUGGAUUGGACAAUUUGAUGGUAUCCCGCUCAUCAAGACAAAGUUCGCACUUUUUGUCUAUGAAGGAGAUUCUUCUACGACUCGUUCUUGUGGCCAUCUCACUCUAGACACUGUAUUUAAUUAUUGUGUGAUAUUGCUGUAUUGUUUACAGUGCUUAAUUGUAUUCACUUGCUGUAGAACUUACCACUUUAAUAACUCCAGCUGGCAUUGUGGCAUUGAUUAAAAAAGCUGAUUAUUGCUGACCUCAUAUCUCAGGAUUCCUACCCCUGCACACUUUAUUUUUUUUGUAUUGUAAUUGCCUAUCAUUGAAGUUUUUGAUGGGCAAUCCACCAAGAAAUUUUC